GGAGUUUGGGCCGUGUCUCAGUCCCAAUGUGGCCGAUCACCCUCUCAGGUCGGCUACCGAUCGUCGACUUGGUGGGCCGUUACCUCACCAACUAUCUAAUCGGACGCGAGCCCACCCUUCACCGGAUUGCUCCUUUGACCCCUGAAUCAUGCGAUCCCGUGGUCUUAUGCGGUAUUAGUACAACUUUCGCUGUGUUAUCCCCCUGUGAAGGACAGGUUGCUCACGCGUUACUCACCCGUCCGCCGCUAAAACAUACAUCUUUGUCUCCAUCCGAAAACUUCAACUCCGUCGUAUGUCUCCGCUCGACUUGCAUGUGUUAGGCACGCCGCCAGCGUUCGUCCUCGAGCCACGGAUCAAACUACU
Molecule: ribosomal RNA, 363 nt
Filed under: uncultured Coriobacteriales bacterium
Lineage: Bacteria; Bacillati; Actinomycetota; Coriobacteriia; Coriobacteriales
Description: partial 16S ribosomal RNA
Source: RNAcentral